This 327-nucleotide ribosomal RNA is filed under the name uncultured eukaryote. RNAcentral describes it as "partial 18S ribosomal RNA". It matches the Rfam family "Eukaryotic small subunit ribosomal RNA", at positions 1470 to 1796 of the family's 1831-position model. The record is from RNAcentral.
CCCUUAGAUGUUCUGGGCCGCACGCGCGCUACACUGACGAAUGCAACGAGCUUAUAACCUUGGCCGAAAGGUCUGGGUAAUCUCCAAAUUUCGUCGUGAUGGGGAUAGAUUAUUGCAAUUAUUAAUCUUCAACGAGGAAUGCCUAGUAAGCGCAAGUCAUCAGCUUGCGUUGAUUACGUCCCUGCCCUUUGUACACACCGCCCGUCGCUCUUACCGAUUGAAUGGUCCGGUGAAGCGUUCGGACCGUGGCCUUUGGACGGUUCGCCGUCUGUUGGCUGCGGGAAGUUCGUUAAACCUUAUCAUUUAGAGGAAGGAGAAGUCGUAACA